Long non-coding RNA from Mytilus californianus (California mussel), 2019 nucleotides. RefSeq lists it as uncharacterized. The record is from RefSeq and is a predicted model, not a curated record. The transcript is spliced from 3 exons. Lineage: Eukaryota; Metazoa; Mollusca; Bivalvia; Mytilida; Mytilidae.
CUGGUUUGUCAUGACAAAGCACAUGAAAUGAAAUACAGGGUUAGUCCCCAGGGGUCACCCCCACCCCAUGCCAUUUAAGAAAGUUCUAAUAUCUUGUAAUGGUCAAGAUCCCCACCCCUAAACCAUAUAUAUUCUGGUUUGUCAUGCUAAGAUGGUUUGAAUGAUAUACAGGGUUAGUCCCCAGGGGUCAUCCUGACCCCCUGCCAUUUGAAAAAGUUCUUAUAUCUUGUAAAUGGUCGAGAUCCCCACCCCUAAACCAUAUAUAUUCUGGUUUGUCAUGCCAAGAUGAUUUGAAUGAUAUACAGGGUUAGUCCCCAGGCAUCACUAAUGCAUAUAACUUUACUGGACCAAACUAAUUUUCACUGGACUUUGCCCAAUGUCAGGCGACCCUGGGAAUUACGAAUUAUGGGAGCUUCGUUUGGGAGACUUCGUAACAGCAUCCUGUUACAAUCAUUUCUUGUUAUUAUUAUUAUUCUUCUUCCUCUUCCUCUUCCUCUUCCGCCGCUUUUAAAUUUGAACUUGUCUGCACCCGUUCUCCAAAACCGCUUGUCAGAUUAACUUAGGGUUUCACAAUAUGUUAGACUAACAUGUCUAGUGGUGCAAUCAGGGUUUUGUUUGUGCAAUGGGGUUUAUAAAGGGGUACUUUGAGGGGCAAAAAGAAAAGAGGGUUUUACUAUAGAACCCUAUGGGAUUUUAUUUUUUAAAAUUUUCAAAUGAUUAUAAAUUGAAAACCGUUUGUGAUAGACACAAUCUUUUUAAUUGAAAAUGUUCUAAAUGAUAAAACCCAUUAAAUGAAAUACAGGGUUAGUCCCCAGGGGUCAUCCCCACCCCCUGCCAUUAAUGAAAGUUCUAAUACCUUGUAAGUGGUCAAGAUCCCCACCCCUAAACCAUAUAUAUUCUGGUUUGUCAUGCUAAGAUGGUUUGAAUGAUAUACAGGGUUAGUCCCCAGGGGUCAUCCCGACCCCCUGCCAUUUGAGAAAGUUCUGAUAUCUUUAAAUGGUCGAGAUCCCCACCCCUAAACCAUAUAUAUUCUGGUUUGUCAUGAUAAAAGCACAUGAAAUGAAAUACAGGGUUAGUCCCCAGGGGUCACCCCCACCCCAUGCCAUUUAAGAAAGUUCUAAUAUCUUGUAAGUGGUCAAGAUCCCCACCCCUAAACCAUAUAUAUUCUGGUUUGUCAUGCUAAGAUGGUUUGAAUGAUAUACAGGGUUAGUCCCCAGGGGUCAUCCCGACCCCCUGCCAUUUGAGAAAGUUCUAAUAUCUUGAAAGUGGUCAAGAUCCCCACCCCUAAACCAUAUAUAUUCUGGUUUGUCAUGCGAAGAUGGUUUGAAUGAUAUACAGGGUUAGUCCCCAGGGGUCACCCCCAGCCCCUUCUAUUUAAGAAAGUUCUAAUAUCUUGUAAGUGGUCAAGAUCCCCACCCCUAAACCAUAUAUAUUCUGGUUUGUCAUACCAAGAUGGUUUGAAUGAUAUACAGGGUUAGUCCCCAGGGGUCAUCCCGACCUCCUGCCAUUUGAGAAAGUUCUAAUAUCUUGUAAAUGGUCGAGAUCCCCACCCCUAAACCAUAUAUAUUCUGGUUUGUCAUGAUAAAGCACAUCAAAUGAAAUACAGGGUUAGUCCCCAGGGGUCACCCCCACCCCCUGCCAUUUAAGAAAGUUCUAAUAUCUUGUAAGUGGUCAAGAUCCCCACCCCUAAACCAUAUAUAUUCUGGUUUGUCAUGCGAAGUUGGUUUGAAUGAUAUACAGGGUUAGUCCCCAGGGGUCACCCCCAGCCCCUUCUAUUUAAGAAAGUUCUAAUAUCUUGUAAGUGGUCAAGAUCCCCACCCCUAAACCAUAUAUAUUCUGGUUUGUCAUACCAAGAUGGUUUGAAUGAUAUACAGGGUUAGUCCCCAGGGGUCACCCCACCCCCUGCUAUUUAAGAAAGUUCUAAUAUCUUGUAAGUGGUCAAGAUCCCCACCCCUAAACCAUAUAUAUUCUGGUUUGUCAUACCAAGAUGGUUUGAAUUAUAUACAGGGUUAGUCCCCA